RNAcentral lists this ribosomal RNA (292 nucleotides) under uncultured bacterium. Its description in RNAcentral is "partial 16S ribosomal RNA". The record is from RNAcentral.
GGACUACUGGGGUAUCUAAUCCUGUUUGCUCCCCACGCUUUCGCGUCUCAGCGUCAGUAUCCGUCCAGAUGGCCGCCUUCGCCACCGGUGUUCCUCCCCAUAUCUACGAAUUUCACCUCUACUUGGGGAAUUCCGCCAUCCUCUCCGGUACUCGAGCCGUGCAGUUUCGGGCGCACUUCCUCGGUUAAGCCGAGGGCUUUCACACCCGACUUGCAUGGCCGCCUACACGCGCUUUACGCCCAAUAAUUCCGAACAACGCUUGCACCCUCUGUAUUACCGCGGCUGCUGGCAC